AUACGGAGGGGGUUAGCGUUGUUCGGAAUUACUGGGCGUAAAGCGUACGUAGGCGGACUGGAAAGUUGGGGGUGAAAUCCCGGGGCUCAACCCCGGAACUGCCUCCAAAACUUCCAAUCUAGAGAUCGAGAGAGGUGAGUGGAAUUCCAAGUGUAGAGGUGAAAUUCGUAGAUAUUUGGAGGAACACCAGUGGCGAAGGCGGCUCACUGGCUCGAUACUGACGCUGAGGUACGAAAGCGUGGGGAGCAAACAGAAUUAGAUACCCCAGUAGUCC
This 274-nucleotide ribosomal RNA is filed under the name uncultured bacterium. Its description in RNAcentral is "partial 16S ribosomal RNA". It matches the Rfam family "Bacterial small subunit ribosomal RNA", at positions 523 to 796 of the family's 1533-position model. The record is from RNAcentral.